Molecule: ribosomal RNA, 253 nt
Filed under: uncultured bacterium
Lineage: Bacteria
Description: partial 16S ribosomal RNA
Rfam family: Bacterial small subunit ribosomal RNA
Source: RNAcentral
UACAGAGACUGCAAGCGUUAUUCGGAUUCACUGGGCGUAAAGGGUGCGCAGGCGGCCAAGUGUGUCAGGUGUGAAAUCCCGAGGCUCAACCUCGGAACUGCGCCUGAAACUACUUGGCUAGAGUACUGGAGAGGGUAACGGAAUUCACGGUGUAGCAGUGAAAUGCGUAGAUAUCGUGAGGAACACCAGAGGCGAAGGCGGUUACCUGGACAGUUACUGACGCUCAGGCACGAAAGCGUGGGGAGCAAAAGGG